RNAcentral lists this ribosomal RNA (500 nucleotides) under uncultured bacterium. RNAcentral describes it as "partial 16S ribosomal RNA". It matches the Rfam family "Bacterial small subunit ribosomal RNA", at positions 30 to 523 of the family's 1533-position model. The record is from RNAcentral.
AUUGAACGCUGGCGGCAGGCCUAACACAUGCAAGUCGAGCGGAUGACGGGAGCUUGCUCCUGGAUUCAGCGGCGGACGGGUGAGUAAUGCCUAGGAAUCUGCCUGGUAGUGGGGGACAACGUUUCGAAAGGAACGCUAAUACCGCAUACGUCCUACGGGAGAAAGCAGGGGACCUUCGGGCCUUGCGCUAUCAGAUGAGCCUAGGUCGGAUUAGCUUGUUGGUGAGGUAAUGGCUCACCAAGGCGACGAUCCGUAACUGGUCUGAGAGGAUGAUCAGUCACACUGGAACUGAGACACGGUCCAGACUCCUACGGGAGGCAGCAGUGGGGAAUAUCGGACAAUGGGCGAAAGCCUGAUCCAGCCAUGCCGCGUGUGUGAAGAAGGUCUUCGGAUUGUAAAGCACUUUAAGUUGGGAGGAAGGGUUGUAGAUUAAUACUCUGCAAUUUUGACGUUACCGACAGAAUAAGCACCGGCUAACUCUGUGCCAGCCGCCGCAGUAA